GAUGUUUUUUUUUUGCAUCCCUAGACCAAGCCUUAUGCUUAUCCAUUCACCUAAAGAUUUUGUACUUUUAUUGUAACUGCUUGUUCAAAUUAUAAAUUCUUUUCACAUAAUAUUUAAAGCUUUUAAAAUCAAAAUUAUUUAAUGACAUUUCCUUUCUGAAAUAAAUUUUAAAAAUUUUUCAUUUACAGACAAAAAUUCAACUGUCGGUUAUCAUUUAGAUUCGUAGUGCUUUAGACAUGCCUAAAACAAGCUGGGUUUGGAAGCAUGCUUUUGUGAUGAAUGACGGAUUCGUCAAGUGCGAUGUAUGUGACACCAAGUUGCAUUAUGGAGUAUCCACUUCAACUGUGCGCAAGCACUUAAAACAGAAACACAAGCUUCUGUAUCGGUAAAGGAAAGAUUUUUGCAUGAAGAUGAAAAUGAAGAUGAACGCUCUGAUUCUAGCAUACAGGAAUCAUUCAGUCCCGAGUCCGCAAACAACAAUGAAGAAGGUGUUAUGAUUAAAAGACCGAGAGAUUCGUCAUCAUCGUCAUCGCAAGAAGCCGCGCCUCCUCAUUUUCUGUCAAAAAGACAAGAGAAUAUUACCAAAGCUCUCGCAAAAAUUUUAGCUAUGUGCCAAUUGCCAUUGUCUUUUUCGCACAGUCAAGGAUUUAUUAACUUCAUGAAAGAAUUCGAUUCCGGAUAUAAGGUGCCGUAACCCCAGGAAAUAAAAUUUUGGGACUUGCAUACAGUGAAGUGAGGGAAAAGAUCACAAAGCGAUUAGAAACAGUAUCAUCAGUUUCUCUGACAACUGAUGAGUGGUCUUCAUUGGCAAAUGAAGGGUAUUUGUCCACGACCGUACACUACAUUGAUUAUAGCUGGUCUUUGUGUACACAUACGCU
RNAcentral lists this long non-coding RNA (878 nucleotides) under Rhagoletis pomonella (apple maggot). RNAcentral's name for it is "uncharacterized LOC118751637, transcript variant X2". The record is from RNAcentral. Lineage: Eukaryota; Metazoa; Arthropoda; Insecta; Diptera; Tephritidae.